ACCUUUGCACUCAGUAUGUCUUAUUUGUUCCUUCAUAGUCCAUGUUAGAAGAUAAAGAAUUUUAUACGUGAAUUUAUUCAGUUCCUAACUGAACUACUCUUUUAAAAACAAGAUAUAUCU
Apteryx haastii (Great spotted kiwi) is the source of this 120-nucleotide small nucleolar RNA. The record is from Ensembl. NCBI's taxonomy places the organism in Eukaryota, Metazoa, Chordata, Aves, Apterygiformes, Apterygidae.